GCCAGGUGUGGUGGUGCACACCUGUAGUCCCAGUUACUUGGGAGGCUAAGGCAGGGGGAUCACUUGAGCCCAGGAACUUGAGGCUGCAGUGAGCUAUGACUGCGCCACUGCACUCCAGCCUGGGCAACAGAGUGAGACCCUGUCUCAA
RNAcentral lists this signal recognition particle RNA (148 nucleotides) under Gorilla gorilla gorilla (western lowland gorilla). RNAcentral describes it as "Metazoan signal recognition particle RNA". It matches the Rfam family "Metazoan signal recognition particle RNA". Rfam says of the family: The signal recognition particle (SRP) is a universally conserved ribonucleoprotein. It is involved in the co-translational targeting of proteins to membranes. The eukaryotic SRP consists of a 300-nucleotide 7S RNA and six proteins: SRPs 72, 68, 54, 19, 14, and 9. The record is from Rfam by way of RNAcentral. Lineage: Eukaryota; Metazoa; Chordata; Mammalia; Primates; Hominidae.